UGGUUCUGGCAACGAUGAAGAACGCAGCGAAAUGCGAUAAGUAAUGCGAAUUGCAGAAUUCAGUGAAUCAUCGAAUCUUUGAACGCACAUUGCGCCCUCUGGCAUUCCGGGGGGCACGCCUGUUCGAGCGUCAUUAGUCAAUCGAGCCUCGCUCGGCAUUGGGCUCCGCCGGGCGGCGGGCCCGAAAAGCAGCGGCGCGGUCAGCCGGGCAAGAGACGCAUUGGAAACACUGUUUCUUCGCCCUGGGGGUUGCCGCCGGAAUUUAUCUUUUCAGAAAAAUUGACCUCGGAUCAGGCGGGAAUACCCGCUGA
RNAcentral lists this unclassified non-coding RNA (311 nucleotides) under uncultured fungus. Its description in RNAcentral is "partial contains 5.8S ribosomal RNA and internal transcribed spacer 2". The stretch from base 1 to 133 matches the Rfam family "5.8S ribosomal RNA", at positions 22 to 154 of the family's 154-position model. Lineage: Eukaryota; Fungi. The record is from RNAcentral.